Molecule: ribosomal RNA, 497 nt
Filed under: uncultured bacterium
Lineage: Bacteria
Description: partial 16S ribosomal RNA
Rfam family: Bacterial small subunit ribosomal RNA
Source: RNAcentral
GAUGAACGCUGGCGGCGUGCCUAAUACAUGCAAGUCGAGCGAACGGACGAGAAGCUUGCUUCUCUGCUGUUAGCGGCGGACGGGUGAGUAACACGUGGAUAACCUACCUAUAAGACUGGGAUAACUUCGGGAAACCGGAGCUAAUACCGGAUCAUAUUUUGAACCGCAUGGUUCAAAAGUGAAAGACGGUCUUGCUGUCACUUAUAGAUGGAUCCGCGCUGCAUUAGCUAGUUGGUAAGGUAACGGCUUACCAAGGCAACGAUGCAUAGCCGACCUGAGAGGGUGAUCGGCCACACUGGAACUGAGACACGGUCCAGACUCCUACGGGAGGCAGCAGUAGGGAAUCUUCCGCAAUGGGCGAAAGCCUGACGGAGCAACGCCGCGUGAGUGAUGAAGGUCUUCGGAUCGUAAAACUCUGUUAUUAGGGAAGAACAUAUGUGUAAGUAACUGUGCACAUCUUGACGGUACCUAAUCAGAAAGCCACGGCUAACUACGUG